Molecule: long non-coding RNA, 594 nt
Filed under: Vigna radiata
Lineage: Eukaryota; Viridiplantae; Streptophyta; Magnoliopsida; Fabales; Fabaceae
Description: long non-coding RNA (VRAD_LNC004546)
Source: RNAcentral
GGGACCAAAAAAUGGUUUAAAGCUAUUAUAUUUGAUGUUUGAAUAAUUGCAGCUAAUAUGAGAAAUAUCAAAAUUUAUGGGUUAGAUUUUAGAGGAAAAGAAGAUGAGGAGAUUAAAUAGAAAAGGUUGAUACUUUGUAAAUAGUUUAUGUGAAUUGAGUUUCUGAAACAAAGAAUGAAAUGGCAUGAGUUAAGCAUGCAAGAGGUUAAGAAUUAGAAUAAAAGUGUUGCAAUCAAGAGAGUAGGAGAAGGGGUGUGCGGAGGGGAGAAGAAGCUAAGAGGGUGAAAGAGGGGAAGAGCGGCCAUAAGGAUGGAAGAAGAGGAGGACAGGCCAUCGAGGAUGGAGGAGGAGGAAGAGGAGAAGAAAAAGAUGGGAAGGGGAAGACAGGAGUAUGUAUGGACAUAUAUACUUGGACACACGUUGAAAAAAUCGUAAUGUCAUUGGAUGGGAAAUAUUGUAUUCAUGUAUUUCCUAAGUAUGAUAAUCAAACUUUGAAAAGAGAUGCCAAAAUCACAUUAUAAUAUAAGAACAAAAACAUAUUUAAUCUAUGUAUUUAUAAUAUAAGUUACUUAUUUUUUUUUUCUUUUAUGAAUG